Molecule: ribosomal RNA, 290 nt
Filed under: uncultured bacterium
Lineage: Bacteria
Description: partial 16S ribosomal RNA
Rfam family: Bacterial small subunit ribosomal RNA
Source: RNAcentral
GUGGAUUAGAUACCCUAGUAGUCCACACUGUAAACGAUGGAUACUAGGUGUGGGAGGUAUCGACCCCUUCCGUGCCGGAGUUAACACAAUAAGUAUCCCACCUGGGGAGUACGACCGCAAGGUUGAAACUCAAAGGAAUUGACGGGGGCCCGCACAAGCAGUGGAGUAUGUGGUUUAAUUCGAAGCAACGCGAAGAACCUUACCAGGGCUUGACAUCCCGCGCAUAGUCUAGAGAUAGAUGAAGUCCCUUCGGGGACGCGGUGACAGGUGGUGCACGGCUGUCGACAGCU